This 520-nucleotide ribosomal RNA is filed under the name uncultured bacterium. RNAcentral's name for it is "bacterial SSU rRNA". It matches the Rfam family "Bacterial small subunit ribosomal RNA", at positions 8 to 526 of the family's 1533-position model. The record is from RNAcentral.
AGAGUUUGAUCCUGGCUCAGGAUGAACGCUGGCGGCGUGCUUAACACAUGCAAGUCGAACGAAGCACUUGGAACAGAUUACUUCGGUUUGAAGUUCCAAUUGACUGAGUGGCGGACGGGUGAGUAACGCGUGGGUAACCUACCUUUAUCAGGGGGAUAACAGUUAGAAAUGACUGCUAAUACCGCAUAAGCGCACAGUGCUGCAUGGCACAGUGUGAAAAGCCAAGACGGAUAGAGAUGGACCCGCGUCUGAUUAGCUAGUUGGUGAGGUAAUGGCUCACCAAGGCGACGAUCAGUAGCCGGCCUGAGAGGGUGAACGGCCACAUUGGGACUGAGACACGGCCCAAACUCCUACGGGAGGCAGCAGUGGGGAAUAUUGCACAAUGGGGGGAACCCUGAUGCAGCGACGCCGCGUGAAGGAAGAAGUAUUUCGGUAUGUAAACUUCUAUCAGCAGGGAAGAAAAUGACGGUACCUGACUAAGAAGCCCCGGCUAACUACGUGCCAGCCGCCGCGGUAAUAC